Molecule: ribosomal RNA, 795 nt
Filed under: uncultured Pelagibacteraceae bacterium
Lineage: Bacteria; Pseudomonadati; Pseudomonadota; Alphaproteobacteria; Candidatus Pelagibacterales; Candidatus Pelagibacteraceae
Description: bacterial SSU rRNA
Rfam family: Bacterial small subunit ribosomal RNA
Source: RNAcentral
CGGCACGCCUAACACAUGCAAGUCGAACGCAGUAGCAAUACUGAGUGGCAAACGGGUGAGUAUAAUGUGGGAAUCUGCCUUUUGGUUUGGAAUAACACGGGGAAACUUGUGCUAAUACCGAAUAAGCCUUUACAGGGAAAGUUUUAACGCCGAAAGAUGAGCCCGCACUUGAUUAGCUAGUUGGUAAGGUAAAAGCUUACCAAGGCAACGAUCAAUAGCUGUUCUUAGAGGAAGACCAGCCACAUUGGGACUGAGACACGGCCCAGACUCCUACGGGAGGCAGCAGUGGGGAAUCUUGCACAAUGGGGGAAACCCUGAUGCAGCGAUGCCGCGUGAGUGAAGAAGGCCCUUGGGUUGUAAAACUCUUUCGUCGGGGAAGAAAAUGACUGUACCCGAAUAAGAAGGUCCGGCUAACUUCGUGCCAGCAGCCGCGGUAAUACGAAGGGACCUAGCGUAGUUCGGAAUUACUGGGCUUAAAGAGCUCGUAGGUGGUUAAAAAAGUUGAUGGUGAAAUCCCAAGGCUUAACCUUGGAACUGCCAUCAAAACUUUUUAGCUAGAGUGUGAUAGAGGUAAGUGGAAUUUCUAGUGUAGAGGUGAAAUUCGUAGAUAUUAGAAAGAACACCAAAUGCGAAGGCAACUUACUGGGUCACUACUGACACUGAGGAGCGAAAGCAUGGGUAGCGAAGAGGAUUAGAUACCCUCGUAGUCCAUGCCGUAAACGAUGUGUGCUAGACGUUGGAAAUAUAUUUUUCAGUGUCGCAGCGAAAGCAUUAAGCACACCGCCUGGGGAGUAC